RNAcentral lists this ribosomal RNA (256 nucleotides) under uncultured bacterium. RNAcentral describes it as "partial 16S ribosomal RNA". It matches the Rfam family "Bacterial small subunit ribosomal RNA", at positions 521 to 776 of the family's 1533-position model. The record is from RNAcentral.
UAAUACAGAGGUCCCAAGCGUUGUUCGGAUUCAUUGGGCGUAAAGGGUGCGUAGGCGGUUUCCUAAGUCUGGUGUGAAAUCUCGGAGCUCAACUCCGAAACUGCACUGGAUACUGGGAGACUUGAGUACUGGAGGGGAGACUGGAAUUUACGGUGUAGCAGUGAAAUGCGUAGAUAUCGUAAGGAAGACCAGUGGCGAAGGCGAGUCUCUGGACAGUUACUGACGCUGAGGCACGAAGGCUAGGGGAGCAAACGGG